GGGGAUAUACACAUACCUCUCGGAUAAAACGCCUCACUAAAUCCAACAUGCUCAAAAGUGACUUUUCGCCAACAGCACCGCAGGGAUUCUAGGUGGCUUCUGUGUCCCAUAGUUUCUAUUGAAGACUGCUCACUGCUGGUGAAACUGACAAGUUCACCACAAACCAGAAACGGAGACUGUUUCCUUUAAAGUAAAAGUUGGCUUUAAAAAAAAGAAGGAAAAAAAACAAAAGAAAUUGUUGCAUCAGUAAGACCUGGUUUUUACUUUGUUAGCAAAUGUUUUUAGUUUCUGGUUUGAAGGUUUUUCACAUUUAGCCACCGGAGGUCGCCGAUCAGUCUCUAGCCUCCAUGACUGAGGCCCGAUGGACAUCUCUAACACAUGUUCCUGCCUGAUCAAAGUUGCAUUCACAUCAGCUUCUGACUGUAGAUUAUGUAUUUUAGAAUAAACCCUUUAAUUCUGGUAGUUUUGUUUCUUCCUAAUUAAUGUGGCCACUUUAAGCCGCAGCACUCCACAGUGUGAAUAACUGAGGGCAUCCUGUGCAGCUUUAACUGGAAGGCAGCCAUUGAGAGAUGAGGUGGCCCCCUGCUGGUCACAGGCUGCACCAGCAUGCUUGCAGCUCCUGUGCCACAAAGAAUUAGUUAAAAUAAAAAGCUUUGCCACAUCUCACCAUGUUGUUGAUACAUAAAUACAAGUUGUCCACAGGUUUUUGUUGUUGUUUUUUUCCCUUUUUAAAAAUGUUUUUUUUUUUAAUUUAUUUUGUUUUUUAUGUUAUGGCUUUGUGCUGUAGUGCACAAAUUUUUUUUUGGACUUUAAAAGUUUUUUUUCUCCUUUUUAUUCUUUUUAUUUAAAGAACAGUUUGUUUUCGUUGUUUUAUAGCGGACCAUCUGAUGAUGUUAAAUUUGACACGGUUGUACUGAGGACGAGGCGGUGCUUGGUGCAUACCGGAGGGAAGAACGUGGAAGACAAAUUCAGAAGUUUUGUUUCAAUCUGAUAUCAAGGCCAGCAGUUGAAUUUCAUGUAUUACCUUUUUUUUUUUUUUUUUUUUGCUGAACUGUGGUGCAGGUUGGAUGUAAUCUGGUGUAUCCCUUUUUAUUUAAUUUUUGUGAAUAGGGGAAAAUAAAAGUUUUUUUCUAUAAGCUUUGAGUCGACUCAGAAUUUUGUUGUCUAUGAUCAUAUAUACC
This is a long non-coding RNA of Oreochromis aureus, 1181 nucleotides long. Lineage: Eukaryota; Metazoa; Chordata; Actinopteri; Cichliformes; Cichlidae. The record is from Ensembl.